CCCCCAGAGCAAAUUGCAGUUAGCAUGACAAAAGAUUUAAUAAGUCCCUGUGGUACAGUAGCACAUAAAGUACAUGUGUGUGUCAGCUACACUGAUUGCGGUCUAGUCAUUCAUAAAAUGCUCCUGGUUUCCAGUAUUGCAAAAUUUACCUUGUUGACUAAUCAUGUCUAGAAGUUUUAGAUCAGCCUAAAAAUUAGACUUUUUGUGAACAGAUCCCAGAAUGCUGAGUUGUCCAUUGGAAAAUUGUUAAAUGAUUGGUAAGUGUUUUUUUGAAUGGGUGUCUUAAAAAUGUGUAAAAUGGUCACAGUAAAGUAAAUAGAUGAAUAAAUUGUUGAGAAAAUUAUUUGAAAUGGAGAAGCAACAAACAUUGUUUUUCCAGUGUAAAAAAUGUUGGAAUGAGAAAAUGAAUAAGGACCAAGAAUAAAAAAAACAUACUAAGAAAAAUGUUUUUUUUUUUUUUCUAAAACUAUUUUUACUUCUUCAAAAUGCUAUGAAAUGGUUCAAAGACAUGAAUAUGAAGAUAUGCCCUCAUAAUAUGUAUAAAUUGAGGGUUUUAUCUUUUGCACCAGCUAGAAUGUUAGCUCAUCCCUUUUAAAUACUAGAACAACUGGAGAGCACACCAAUUUUUACACAAUAUUAAGUAGUCCCAGAUUAAUUGAAUGGAGCAGGGUCCAACAACAUAGAAUGCACUGAUAACAAAAAUAGUUUUUUUACUAAAGCAUAAGGUUCCUUACUUAACACUUGUUUUUGUUAUUAGUAUUUCCUUUCAUUAGGGUUGCAUCAGAGUCCAGCACCAGAUACAAAUAACCCAACCCUGCAUGUGCAUGAGUUAUUGUAAUGAUAUUUAUGAAAGGCUCAAUAGCCUAAAGAGCUAAAAAAAAAUUAAUCAAACUCUUUUAUUCCCACAGCAUUAAUAUCCCUGGCACUUGAGUGCACCCUGAAUAGUAAAACCAGUUACCAAGUAGUCAGACAACAUAUUGUCAGCCAAUAACUAUUCCACAUGGGAUACUUGUAUACAGACCUUCUGAUUCUGUGGCAUCUCUUUGCCAUUAUAAGACAUCGUUUUAUGCAUUAAAACUGUUAAUUUGUCUCAGUGGUGCAUUUCAUGCACACCUGCUCCACCUUUUUAUUCAAAGAAAAGUGAACUUUUUGAGAAUAAUUAUUAUUACUGUCAUGGGAAUUUAUCCAGAAUGUAAUUGGUACAUGCUGCUUCUUUAAAUAUUUUAUGAAACAUUUAGUUUUCAGCAGCCGGUGUUGACAUUUUGGUGAAGUGUUAAUAAAGUACCUAAUGUAAAAAGAAUUUCUUCAUCUUCUGUUUUCUGCUUCUAUUUAAGUUUUAUGGGAUUACAUCGAGCAAUUAUCAAAAUGAUAAAUGGAAUAUUGUAUAAUGUUGUAUCCAUUUAUAAAUUAUAAUUCUUCUUAGGCUAGAGAUAAAGAAAAAGACACGACAGACAAAACCUGAAGUGAGGGAUGACAAAGUGCUUGAGUUGGAGAAGAAGCUAGCAGAGAGGAAAGCUGCAAGAUUAGAAGAACAGGGCAAAGAAAGACUAGACUCCAGGAAGCAAACACAGAGGGCUAGGAGUUUUAUCAACGCAAAGAGAGCUUCAGAGGAGAAGCGCUGGGAAGAGCUGGAGAAGACGAAGGAAAGGACCGCCAAGUUGACCUCACAGGGCAUGUACAAUAGUAAAGGUGCAAAUAAACUGAUGGCAUCAAACAGGAUCUCUGUGGUGACAUAGACACAAAUACUAAAUCGUCCAAGAACUUGGUUUCAAACUGAAAGUUCAGCGUCCUAUUCAGUUACUUACACUACAGGCAUAAGGCUCAUACUUUAAAACAAGUCUUUAUUAAAUUGGCUGGCCUGCUUCAGGUGUGAGUGAGAUUCAUGUUGAACAUCAAACCCACGAAACAAUCUGAUAUUUUGUUGGAGUAGAUUUAAGCUUUGAUUGUACUGUAUGUAUUCCCCCUUGGAGGAAUUUUAUGCUGAUAUCUUGCAAAAAUCUAUUAAAGUGCUGGACACAUGCCCACUGGAAAACUGGUUUUAAAAAGUAAUACAAUGAUACAUAUUAUAUAUAGAAAUAAAAAUGCCAUUAUGCACAUG
This 2098-nucleotide long non-coding RNA is filed under the name Lingula anatina. RNAcentral describes it as "uncharacterized LOC106173856". The record is from RNAcentral. Lineage: Eukaryota; Metazoa; Brachiopoda; Lingulata; Lingulida; Lingulidae.